ACUUGGCUUUUGGAAAUUGAAUGGAUUCCUUCCCUCUCCGAGCGGAGCCGAGCAAACCCCCUCCCUCAUAUGCCUUUUGGCUAGCUUUUACGGUUUUCUACUUUCUAGCUCUUAGCUUUACUACCUCUACCGAGAAGAUUUCUCUCGCUUCAGGUUUGCCUAAUCGAAUGAUUCUUUUUUCUCUUGUACCUUAGUAGAAUUCACACCAACCGAAUCUCGACUUAAGUAAGUACAAGCAAGGCAAUUGACUUGAUCAAGAAGGUAUGGAACUUCUCGACGCACCUCUAUCAAUUCCUUCUUUGCCCCAUCUCUCUUCUAUUAUGAAAUUUAUACUUACCCGGUAAUGCCCCAUCCUUUUAGUACUACCUUCGAGGAAUUCCUCUUGAAAGAAAAUAAGCCGUCAACAGUGCCGUCUAGCGCCUUUUAGGCUUAGUCGCCAUCUUCCUAGCCUAGUAAGCGAUAAGGAAGCUAAGCGCGGGAAAGACAGUUUAACCAUAACCAUCCCCUCGUCGAUAGCGGUU
Molecule: long non-coding RNA, 521 nt
Filed under: Panax ginseng (ginseng)
Lineage: Eukaryota; Viridiplantae; Streptophyta; Magnoliopsida; Apiales; Araliaceae
Description: long non-coding RNA (PGIN_LNC007007)
Source: RNAcentral